CCUACGGGUGGCAGCAGUGGGGAAUAUUGGGCAAUGGAGGAAACUCUGACCCAGCAACGCCGCGUGAAUGAUGAAGGUCUUCGGAUUGUAAAGUUCUUUUCUAAGGGAAGAAGAAAGUGACGGUACCUUCGGAAUAAGCCUCGGCUAACUACGUGCCAGCAGCCGCGGUAAUACGUAGGCGGCGAGCGUUAUCCGGAAUGACUGGGCGUAAAGGGUGCGUAGGUGGUUUGGCAAGUUAGUAGCGUAACUCCAAGGAUCAACCUUGGAACUACUACUAAAACUGUUGGACUUGAGUGCAGGAGGGGCAACCGGAAUUCGUAGUGUAGCGGUGGAAUGCGUAGAUAUUAGGAGGAACACCAGUGGCGAAGGCGGGUUGCUAGACUGUAACUGACACUGAUGCACGAAAGCGUGGGGAGCAAACAGGAUUAGAUACCCUAGUAGUC
RNAcentral lists this ribosomal RNA (443 nucleotides) under uncultured bacterium. RNAcentral describes it as "partial 16S ribosomal RNA". It matches the Rfam family "Bacterial small subunit ribosomal RNA", at positions 338 to 795 of the family's 1533-position model. The record is from RNAcentral.